UAGAAGUGUGUGUGUGUGUGUUUGUAAGAGAGAGAACGAGAAAAAAAAAAAAUUUGUUUGAGAAAGAAAGAUAGUAUGCUAAUUAAUUGUUUCGUUUAUUUCUUUGAGAAAUAAACUUAAUUAGAAAUAUAAAUCAAUUAGUUAUAAUUUGAACUUGAGACCUCGGAGACCAACCAUCUGGCCCUUUGUCCCGUUGUGCUAGAAACGAUUUUAGGUAAUUAAGGAAAAGUAUUAAUGUAGG
Molecule: long non-coding RNA, 241 nt
Filed under: Ananas comosus (pineapple)
Lineage: Eukaryota; Viridiplantae; Streptophyta; Magnoliopsida; Poales; Bromeliaceae
Description: long non-coding RNA (ACOM_LNC032083)
Source: RNAcentral